RNAcentral lists this transfer RNA (49 nucleotides) under Bonnetina sp. SCHZ21FPM. RNAcentral's name for it is "tRNA-Leu". The record is from RNAcentral. Lineage: Eukaryota; Metazoa; Arthropoda; Arachnida; Araneae; Theraphosidae.
ACUUUUAUAGCAAAAUAUUGCAAUAGAUUUAGAUUCUAUACAUAUUCAC